GGUGGCUCAUGGGUACAAAAAUUUUAGCAAAAAAUUAAACCUUUAUUUUUUCAUUACAAAUUUUAUUUAUUACACUAUUAGUUGUAACUUUAUGAUAUGGUACAAAAAACAACCCAAAAAAUUGAUUUGGUUUGGCCCCAAAUGACUUUAAAAAUUGAAAAAGCUCCAAAUUAUCUCCCUUUGGUGCAAACAUGCCAUUUUUUGGCCUUAAAUUUGAAAUAUCUUUUUUAACUCAUCGGUGACCUAUAUUUUUUAUUAUUAUUUUCAAAUAAGCUGUACAUAAACUAAAUAAUUGUAAAAUUUAAGUGAUUUCUUAUAUUAGGUUAUUUUUUUAUUUCGAUAUUUCCUCUUUUUCUCCUAUUAGUUCAACAGAAAAAAAAAGGACAUUAACAAAAUGUAUGCUUC
RNAcentral lists this long non-coding RNA (405 nucleotides) under Mytilus galloprovincialis (Mediterranean mussel). The record is from RNAcentral. Lineage: Eukaryota; Metazoa; Mollusca; Bivalvia; Mytilida; Mytilidae.